Molecule: ribosomal RNA, 253 nt
Filed under: uncultured bacterium
Lineage: Bacteria
Description: partial 16S ribosomal RNA
Rfam family: Bacterial small subunit ribosomal RNA
Source: RNAcentral
UACAGAGGUCCCGAGCGUUGUUCGGAUUCACUGGGCGUAAAGGGUGCGUAGGCGGUUCUGCAAGUCUGAUGUGAAAUCUCCAGGCCCAACCUGGAAACGGCAUUAGAAACUACAGGGCUAGAGGCUUGGAGGGGGAACUGGAAUGCUCGGUGUAGCAGUGAAAUGCGUAGAGAUCGAGCGGAACACCAGUGGCGAAGGCGAGUUCCUGGACAAGUCCUGACGCUGAGGCACGAAAGCUAGGGUAGCAAACGGG